CAGCGAACGUCGGAGACCAUUUUGAGCAAGCGUGUUUCCUCUCUCCGGAUUUUAUCCUCUGCGACUCUCUCCUUAUCUAUGUAGGAGCAGCGUCGUUCUGGUGUGCUGCCGAGUGGGAGCAGUCGCUGUCGAGGGGAGAGGGAUAUUAGGAAUCGGGGGACGGUAGACCCACGCGGCAGGGGAAGGUCCGUGUCGGUGGCCGCUGGAAAGGAAGUGGUAGUGGCAGAGAGGUGGGACUCGAGGCUGGAUGGGUGGUACAGUUCGUCCAGGUCUAGGCGGUGCCGAGGGCGUCGGUGCGCGGCCGUCUGGUUAGUCCCCGUGCUGCACCAGAGAAGGGGGAGAAGUGGAGACAAACAAACCAAACUAACUACAACAAGCAAGAGAAAAUAAGUUAAACCGUCCGCGCGUCCACGUGCUGCACACCAAUAUGAGAAGGUGAGAGCACCGGUGGUAAGACGAAGGAGGGGAGGGGACCAAGUCGUCGUCGUCAUCACUGUGCGCUAAACCUCCCUUAUUCGACUCGUUAACGUCGGCAGGAGGAGCGGAUCCUCCUCCUCCUCGAGGUAGUGUAAUCGUCGUCGAGUCCGUCCUGUACUUCGGCACCGAGAAGUUGCAGUAGGGACCGGGGUGGCUGUUUGGGUCCUAGCGGCACCUGAUGUUCCACAUGGGCACGUUACGAACAAAGGAACUUAGUCUUCGAGCUACGUUCGUUUGACGUCACAAAUUGACUUACACAAAACUAUGGUAAGAGACAAAAUCGAUCCCUCUUGUCUGAUCACAAAAAACACGUGCGAUAAGGAAGCCUUGAACAUACAGACACUAGUUUAUUGAAAAUACUGUGUACUUCAUAUUGUCAGACAAGACAGAGUAAACUAGUUAAUUAGAUUUGUGACUACCAGCC
Molecule: ribosomal RNA, 901 nt
Filed under: Triticum aestivum (bread wheat)
Lineage: Eukaryota; Viridiplantae; Streptophyta; Magnoliopsida; Poales; Poaceae
Description: partial small subunit ribosomal RNA
Source: RNAcentral